AUUUUUUGUUUUUUCAAUUUUAAUUUUUAAAUUUACAUUUUGUUUUGGUUCUAAGCUUUCCAUUUAGUUUUUAUUAUCUUCUAUUUCUCUGCUGAGAUUUUCUAUGUUUUUAUUUGUUUCAAGCAUGUUUAUUAUUACUCAUUAAAGCAUUUUAACCAUGACCAUUAAAAUCUUUGUCAAAUAAUUCUAACAUCUUUGUUAUCUCAGUGUUAGUAUAUAAUCAAUUGUCUUUUUCAUUCAAGUUGACAUUUCCCUAUUUCUUGGCAUGACAAGUGAUUUUCUUCCUUCUUUUUUUUUUUUUUUUUUUCCUGAGACAGGAUCUUACUCUGUUGCCCAGGCUGGAAUGAACAUGGCUUACUGUAGCCUUGACCUCCUUUGUUCAAGUGAUUCUUCGGCCUCAGCCUCCUGGGUAGCUGGGACUGUAGGUGUGCACCACCACCUGGUUAAUUUUUUAAAUUAUUUUUUGUAGAGAUGGGAUCUCGCCGAAUUGCCCAGGCUGGUCUUGAACUCCUGGACUCAAGUGAUUCUUCUGCCUUGGCCUCCCAAAGUGGUGGGAUUACAGGCAUGAGCUGCCCUGCUUGACUGGACAGAUUAUUUUCAAUUGGAACCUGGAUACUUUGGAUAGUGUGUGUGAUGCACCUGCUCCUGCUCUGCCUUCUGCCAUGAGUGGAAGCUUCCUGAGGCCUCACCAGAAGCAGAUGCUGCUCUCUUUUCUAUACAGCCUGCACAACCAUGAGCCAAUUAAACCUCUUUUCUUUAUAAAUUAUCCAAGCUCAAGUAUACCUUUGUAGUAAUGCAAAUGGACUAAUGCACUGUUCAAAAGAAAUCCGGUUGAAACUGGGUUUUGCAUAACUAGAUCUCUGACCUCUUGUUCUUUUGGGAUUGGGGAGGGCCAGCCUGCUCACUUGGGGACCUCCUCCUGACAGACUAGGUCUCAACACAGUGGAGAUUUCCAGCCCAAACCUGUAUUAAUCCUCUCCCUCCUGUUGAAUGUUUCUUUCAUGGGAGCUGAGCUGCAGGAUUAGAGCUCAUGAUAAGCCAUUCCAAAGUGUUUUAUGGAAACCAUGAGCUCUCUGGCAGAUUCCCUGCAGGCUUAGGAAUGAAGGAUCCUCCUCACAGUUGUUGUGUGUCUAUACCUCAGAUGCCUGUCACAAAACCCAAGAGGGUCCCAGUGAAUGGAAGAAAGGCUUCCCGAGGUGAUUUCCUUACUAUAAGACAGACCCUGCACCAGGCUGGAUUCUUUCUUUUUUUUGCCAUGCCACAAUGUCGGGAGAGGAGCUGAAGGUCAUACCCUCACACAGGUAGGAGGGUCUAAGUCAAGCCUAUUUUGGAAGGCAAUGUGCUCACAGAAACAUCAUCCAACUUUGAGGUCAAGGCGAGAGGCUGGAAGAAGGUGCCAAGAAUGACAGAUUCUGCUCCGGUGUCAAGGACAGAAGCUGCAUAUUCCACUGUGAAGGCCACAGCUUUUUCAUAAGAAAAGUGCAAUUUACUGAUGAUCAAAUAGUUCAUUUAAGAGAUUCCAGUGAGGAGUGGAAGAUGAAUUGAAGGAGAUAUUAGAGAUGACAUUCAUGAAUUGAACAGAGGAGUUACCCAGAUGAUCCCUGAGAUAUCUUAUAAACCCCAGAUUCUAUGACUGUAUGACUUUUAUCUGAAAUGACACGAGCUGAAGUAGGCGAUUCACACUUUAGAUGUUUCAGGUUCAACUCUGCUUCAGACAAUACUGGGAAUGAAUAAAAAGAAUCUGUAUUAUUAAACAACUCCAGGUGUCACCCAGUUCAUCCCUUGGUUCCAAGGAAACAACAGACAUAUAACUAAUUGACCCAUCUUGUUAGGAACAAUUCAUUGUCCUCAUGGUCCUAUCCAGUGGUGCUCAUUCUCUGCUCUGCAGUGGAAUCACUUAUGAGCUUUUUAAAAAUACAGACACUUUUUCCCACCCCUAGAGCUACUGGGUCAGAAUCUCUGAGGUUGGGUUCAAGGAUGUAAUUUUGUAAAAUUCCUACAGGAGAUCCCAGUGCACCAAGACUGGGAACCACCUCUGUCAUCUGGAUCCUCCUGCUACAGAGCCAUGCUGUGAGGCCCCAGGGCCGCUGCCGUGAUUUUCUGCAGAUGGUCCUGUGUCUGCCUUCUGCAGCGGCUCCCCUCAAAUGCCAUAGAGCUAGAAAGUAAAGGCCAAUGGCCUGGUACCCAAAAGUGAUUUAGUGGAACAAGAGGUAGUUAGUCGGGCUAAAUAUGUGUCAGAGACAAAGGGGGCACAGCACAGCAGAGUGAGGUAAGGACAGGGAGAGUCCAGGGUCUGGGUCCGCCUUGGACCUCUGCCUUGUUUGAUUGGACAUAUAUCUGGAGAAAAUGCAGGCACCAACUCAAAGCAGGCUUGCAUGGAACUGCACUCUGCAAACCUGGCUCAUUUGAUGCUAUGUUAUUUUUUAAAUAGGUGGAAAAGUGUGGCCCCUGUUUCAAGAAGGAAACUCCUUCCUGAGUUCAGAGACCAUGGCCCAGGAGGGCCUGUGUUCUGUCUGUGGAGUUCGGAGGUGGCUGGAGGCAAAUGUUUUAUUUUUUGCUUAAAACCUCAUGGAGCAGCAUGCCAGUUUUUACUCAUGAAAAUGGAAAUAAAAACGGAGAGAGAUGUAAGGGUUAAUUAAAGAAGCUGAGAAAACUGCCUGAUACACUAAUUCUGUUGAGUUACCGGCCACAAUUAAAGGUUUCAUUGAAAAGACCAGAGAAAAACUGCUUACGAAGCUUGCCCGG
This 2745-nucleotide long non-coding RNA is filed under the name Homo sapiens (human). RNAcentral describes it as "HSALNT0183873". The record is from RNAcentral. Lineage: Eukaryota; Metazoa; Chordata; Mammalia; Primates; Hominidae.